UGGGGAAUCUUGCGCAAUGGGCGAAAGCCUGACGCAGCGACGCCGCGUGAGUGAUGAAGGCCUUCGGGUUGUAAAGCUCUGUGGAGGGGGACGAAUAAGGGCCGGCGAACACCCGGCUCGAUGACGGUACCCCUUUAGCAAGCACCGGCUAACUCUGUGCCAGCAGCCGCGGUAAGACAGAGGGUGCAAACGUUGUUCGGAAUUACUGGGCGUAAAGCGCGUGUAGGCGGUUCGGAAAGUCGGGUGUGAAAGCCCUGGGCUCAACCCAGGAAGUGCACACGAAACUCCCGAGCUAGAGUCCUGGAGAGGAAGGCGGAAUUCUCGGUGUAGAGGUGAAAUUCGUAGAUAUCGAGAGGAACAUCGGUGGCGAAGGCGGCCUUCUGGACAGCGACUGACGCUGAGACGCGAAAGCGUGGGGAGCAAACAGGAUUAGAUACCCUGGUAGUCCACGCCGUAAACGAUGGGUGCUAGGUGCUGCGGGCUUUGACCCUGCGGUGCCGUA
RNAcentral lists this ribosomal RNA (502 nucleotides) under uncultured Pseudomonadota bacterium. RNAcentral's name for it is "bacterial SSU rRNA". It matches the Rfam family "Bacterial small subunit ribosomal RNA", at positions 355 to 850 of the family's 1533-position model. The record is from RNAcentral. Lineage: Bacteria; Pseudomonadati; Pseudomonadota.